GAGUUUGAUCUUGGCUCAGAACGAACGCUGGCGGCAGGCUUAACACAUGCAAGUCGAGCGCCCCGCAAGGGGAGCGGCAGACGGGUGAGUAACGCGUGGGAAUCUACCCAGCUCUACGGAAUAACCCAGGGAAACUUGGACUAAUACCGUAUACGUCCGAUAGGAGAAAGAUUUAUCGGAGUUGGAUGAGCCCGCGUUGGAUUAGCUAGUUGGUGGGGUAAUGGCCUACCAAGGCGACGAUCCAUAGCUGGUCUGAGAGGAUGAUCAGCCACACUGGGACUGAGACACGGCCCAGACUCCUACGGGAGGCAGCAGGUGGGGAAUAUUGGACAAUGGGCGCAAGCCUGAUCCAGCCAUGCCGCGUGAGUGAUGAAGGCCCUAGGGUUGUAAAGCUCUUUCACCGGUGAAGAUAAUGACGGUAACCGGAGAAGAAGCCCGGCUAACUUCGUGCCAGCAGCCGCCGU
Molecule: ribosomal RNA, 464 nt
Filed under: uncultured Alphaproteobacteria bacterium
Lineage: Bacteria; Pseudomonadati; Pseudomonadota; Alphaproteobacteria
Description: bacterial SSU rRNA
Rfam family: Bacterial small subunit ribosomal RNA
Source: RNAcentral